CAGCCGCCGCGGUAAUACGGAGGAUCCAAGCGUUAUCCGGAUUUAUUGGGUUUAAAGGGUGCGUAGGCGGCUUGUUAAGUCAGGGGUGAAAGGCGGUAGCUUAACUAUCGGAGUGCCCUUGAUACUGACGAGCUUGAAUGCAGCUGAGGUAGGCGGAAUGUGACAAGUAGCGGUGAAAUGCGUAGAUAUGUCACAGAACACCGAUUGCGAAGGCAGCUUACUAAAGUGCGAUUGACGCUGAGGCACGAAAGCGUGGGGAUCAAACAGGAUUAGAGACCCCGGUAGUCCCUGUCUCUUAUAC
RNAcentral lists this ribosomal RNA (301 nucleotides) under uncultured bacterium. RNAcentral describes it as "partial 16S ribosomal RNA". It matches the Rfam family "Bacterial small subunit ribosomal RNA", at positions 509 to 807 of the family's 1533-position model. The record is from RNAcentral.